UACGUAGGGUGCAAGCGUUAAUCGGAAUUACUGGGCGUAAAGCGUGCGCAGGCGGUGAUGUAAGACAGGUGUGAAAUCCCCGGGCUCAACCUGGGAACUGCAUUUGUGACUGUAGAGCUGGAGUACGGCAGAGGGGGGAUGGAAUUCCGCGUGUAGCAGUGAAAUGCGUAGAUAUGCGGAGGAACACCGAUGGCGAAGGCAAUCCCCUGGGCCUGUACUGACGCUCAUGCACGAAAGCGUGGGGAGCAAACAGG
This 254-nucleotide ribosomal RNA is filed under the name uncultured bacterium. RNAcentral's name for it is "partial 16S ribosomal RNA". It matches the Rfam family "Bacterial small subunit ribosomal RNA", at positions 524 to 776 of the family's 1533-position model. The record is from RNAcentral.